CACUGUAUAUGUAAAAUCAUCUUUGUUUAUAUUUCUUUCGUUUCAGAAUAACAUCAAGUACUAUGUCUACAACAACGACCGAGGAUCCUGAUUGUUGUUGUGAAAGAAGACCUCUAGGUGAUGUUAAAGUCAAAGUUGAAUAUAUUCCUUGCCCAUCUGCUAAUGCGGGCAAUAUUGAUGAUUAAUUUGGACAGACUGUUUCAAUGGUGGGGUUGGAGGACGAGUGGCUAUUUUUCAUAAUGUUAAUUUUCUAUAACUAAAAAAUAUCGGCAUAGUACUUAACAUUAUUUAUACUCAAUUAUUUUUGGCUUAACAAUUUGUUUUGUUUUUAAGAGACAUUUCUUUGCAUUUAAUGAAUCUAAUAAGUAAUGGUUGAAAUGAAUGUCACAUUUUUAUUUAGCUGUAAUUCCAAUUAUUGUUAAGUAGAGAAAUAAAAUUUGAAUACAAAUAUCGAUAAAACCACUGCAUGACACAAUUAAAUUUAUAAUUUAUGUGACUUCUUUCCUUGAUUGGCUAACUAACAAAGCUUUUAUAAAUAUGUAUUUAUAGUUUCAAAAACAAAUAUAAAAUAUUUAAAAGAUGUUUUUAAAAGAUUGAAUUAAAAUAACAGUACAAUUCAUAAAGCCUAUCUAAGAUGGCCAAUGUGUUGGUUGGCUUAAUUACAUCAUUUACAUAACAAUUACAAUUCGUAUACAUUUCAAAACUUUACCUUCUAAUUUCAAUAUAAUUUAUACUUACAUUGUUGAAACAGAAUGCAUUCAAAGAAUCAUAUUUAUUUAUGCAACGCUUUUAAACGUUUAGAAUUUGUUGAUGUUCGUAUAUUAAGAAUUGUUUUUCUUUAAAACAAUAUCAUCUCUGCAAAUCAUUUUUGAUAACAUUUUAAGACAGUAGUGAUCUAUAUUGCUUGAAAUAAACUGAUAAAUCUAAAUGAUUCAAAAGAUUUACUCAUUAUAUCUGUGUACUUCUUUGAAU
Molecule: long non-coding RNA, 972 nt
Organism: Ruditapes philippinarum (Manila clam)
Lineage: Eukaryota; Metazoa; Mollusca; Bivalvia; Venerida; Veneridae
Exons: 3
Source: RefSeq, a predicted model, not a curated record